GGUCCGUUAGCUCAGGUGGUAGAGCACGUGACUUUUAAUCACGGUGUCGGAAGUUCGAGUCUUCUACGGAUCACCA
RNAcentral lists this transfer RNA (76 nucleotides) under Erysipelotrichaceae bacterium. Its description in RNAcentral is "tRNA-Lys". It matches the Rfam family "tRNA". From Rfam's summary of the family: Transfer RNA (tRNA) molecules are approximately 80 nucleotides in length. Their secondary structure includes four short double-helical elements and three loops (D, anti-codon, and T loops). Lineage: Bacteria; Bacillati; Bacillota; Erysipelotrichia; Erysipelotrichales; Erysipelotrichaceae. The record is from RNAcentral.